Molecule: ribosomal RNA, 207 nt
Filed under: uncultured bacterium
Lineage: Bacteria
Description: partial 16S ribosomal RNA
Rfam family: Bacterial small subunit ribosomal RNA
Source: RNAcentral
CGCGUAGGCGGUCUGUUAAGUCAGAUGUGAAAGCCCUGGGCUUAACCUGGGAACUGCAUUUGAUACUGGCGGACUAGAGUAUGGUAGAGGGAAGUGGAAUUCCGGGUGUAGCGGUGAAAUGCGUAGAUAUCCAGAAGAACAUCAGUGGCGAAGGCGGCUUCCUGGACCAAUACUGACGCUGAGGUGCGAAAGCGUGGGGAGCAAACA